This 572-nucleotide long non-coding RNA is filed under the name Androctonus crassicauda. The record is from RNAcentral. Lineage: Eukaryota; Metazoa; Arthropoda; Arachnida; Scorpiones; Buthidae.
GUGUGCUCUUCCGAUCUCGGAGGCGGACCGUUGAGGCCUCGAAAUCGGAAAUUUUCUUAAAGAAUGUAGACUUAAUAGAGUCCUGCCGAUGUCAAUCUACCGUAUCACUUUACCCGUACAAUCCAAGAGAAUUCUCGACAACACUAAGAGCAUAUGUUUCAAAUUCGCUGUUUCCGAUGCUAAAAGAAGAUAUUAUCGCCUUAGGUCGAGGCUGACUCCUCUCCUCCCCCCUGCCGGUUUGCCGAAUGGUUCCAGCAUGGACAGAAAGAUUUCCGAUUUCGAGGCCUCGGUGGUCCGCUUCCGGGGUGGUCUCCGUCAGCGGCGUGUCGGAGGGCUUAAGUGGAUCUUCCGUCGUCGGCUCUCCCACAGGGAGGGUUCCUCUCUGCCUCUUGGUGAUGUGCUUGCCGUCUUUGAUAGUAUCAACGUUCCUAACUUUGCUGGGGGGCUUUUUAUUAAGGGCCCGGCCUGUGCCCUGGUUGGGCGUCCCCGUUUGCAGGACGGUGUGCCUCUCUUCGAUAAACUUGUUGACCCGCUAGAAGAUUGGGAGGCGGAGCGGCUCCGAUGGACUCUGG